GACGAACGCUGGCGGCGUGCUUAACACAUGCAAGUCGAACGGAAAGGCCCCUUUUGGGGUAUUCGAGUGGCGAACGGGGGAGUAACACGUGAGUAACCUGCCCUUGUCUUCUGGAUAACUUCAUGAAACAGGGGCUAAUAUCGUGUAGGGAUCCUUGCUGCAUGUGGGGGGUUGGAAAGCUUCGUCGGUGUUGGAUGUACUCUCGGCUUAUAAGCUUGUUGGGGGGGGAGUGUUUUAUCCAGGCUUUUACGGGUAGCCGGCCUGAGAGGGGGAGGGGACAUAUUGGGACUGAGACAGGGCCCAGACCUACGCGGGAGAGAGGAGUGGAGAAUAUUGCAAAAUGGGCGGAAGUCAGACGCAGAAACGGCGCGGGCGAGAUGGGGGCCUUCGGGUUGUAAACCGCUUUCAGAAGGCGAGAAGCUUGUGGUGACGGUACCUGUAGAAGAAGCACCGGCUAACUACGUG
This 465-nucleotide ribosomal RNA is filed under the name uncultured bacterium. Its description in RNAcentral is "partial 16S ribosomal RNA". It matches the Rfam family "Bacterial small subunit ribosomal RNA", at positions 28 to 507 of the family's 1533-position model. The record is from RNAcentral.